GGCUCCAUAAUGGAAUCAAGAAGUCAUGGAAUCCUACGCUUGGAAGUUUGGAGGGCAUUGGUCCAACUUCCCACUGAACCCAGAGUUCCGAAGAUGGGCAGAUGAUCAGAAGGGGCGAUUUUCAGGACUUGCAGAUUCAAGGAAGGUCCCCAGUUCCUCUGGGAAUCAUCCUGUACACAACAUCUUCACAAGGGUGGCAGACAGUUGGAUCUCUGGCCUUCGUGGGACCACUGGACAUCUGGCAGAGAACCAGAAAACCACUCUUCCUUUCUGUGAGUCUACUCAGUCAGAAAACUACAAGAUGUGUGGCUGUGGGAUGAGGCUUUUAGAAAGGUGAAGUAGAACACUUUGAGAAAGUGUUUGGGAAGAAACUGGCUGAUGUUGAAAGGAAAUUUGACCAUUCACAGAUUUCUUUUCCUACAUAGAGAAACACAAAAGCUUACAUGUACACAGGCAAAAAAAAAAAAAAAAAAAAAAAAAAAAAAAAUUAAUUCAUUUUUCUUUCUUGACUUCCUUUCUUCUCCAGCUUUUUUUUUCCUUUUUCUUUUAUACCUGGUUAACAGUAAUUCCCAUUUUUAACCAAGGAGUGGUAAAACUGACACUGUGAUAUUGCUGUGCUAGGAUAUAUUAGCAAAACCCGUUUGGAAAUUGAUUUGCAAUAUGUAUCAAGGGCCAUAAAAAUGUAUGAGAAUGAUCUGAUAAUAAGGAAACAGGAUAUGC
This 720-nucleotide long non-coding RNA is filed under the name Saimiri boliviensis boliviensis (Bolivian squirrel monkey). Its description in RNAcentral is "lncRNA (ENSSBOG00000036609.1)". The record is from RNAcentral. Lineage: Eukaryota; Metazoa; Chordata; Mammalia; Primates; Cebidae.